RNAcentral lists this ribosomal RNA (473 nucleotides) under uncultured bacterium. Its description in RNAcentral is "bacterial SSU rRNA". It matches the Rfam family "Bacterial small subunit ribosomal RNA", at positions 30 to 487 of the family's 1533-position model. The record is from RNAcentral.
AUUGAACGCUGGCGGCAUGCCUUACACAUGCAAGUCGAACGGCAGCACGGGAGCAAUCCUGGUGGCGAGUGGCGAACGGGUGAGUAAUGUAUCGGAACGUACCUUUCAGUGGGGGAUAACGUAGCGAAAGUUACGCUAAUACCGCAUAUUCUGUGAGCAGGAAAGCAGGGGAUCGCAAGACCUUGCGCUGAUUGAGCGGCCGAUAUCAGAUUAGCUAGUUGGUGAGGUAAAGGCUCACCAAGGCGACGAUCUGUAGCGGGUCUGAGAGGAUGAUCCGCCACACUGGAACUGAGACACGGUCCAGACUCCUACGGGAGGCAGCAGUGGGGAAUUUUGGACAAUGGGCGCAAGCCUGAUCCAGCCAUGCCGCGUGAGUGAAGAAGGCCUCGGGUUGUAAGUCGUACUUUCUAGCCGGGAAGGAAAACGACGAAUAGGGUUAAGUAACCCGUGUGUGGAGUGACGGUACCGGAAGU